UGACUUUGGCCUGUCCAUCACCCAGUGGCAGUUAGAGGAGCUUCAUUCAUCAAGUUCUUCCAGUCUUGCUUUUGCUAAGCUCUCCUCCCCAUCCACUUGCAGUAGAGGAAGUUGGGUUGAGUGAAUUUCCACCUGAAAUGACAAUUUCUUGGCUCUUGUCUUUGCGAUACAGUUGAGCUGAGUCUCCGGCUCCAUUUCUAUCCCACCCCUUGUGGAGAGAACAUCACCAUGACCGUCCCUGGGAGGAUUCAUCAAGGAAAGCAGCGAGCAGCACAGCAGGAACCAACUGUUGGAACAUGAAGCUCCGAGGAGCUUGGUCGUGCCCUGCUGGAAGCCCUCCUGGCACUGGUGCUGUCCUGGAGUAUGAGGUCCCCACGGCCAUUGGCUGCCUUGAGCUUCCUGCUCCUCUGUUUCCUGCCUUGUGAGGGCUGGUGAUGGCACUGUCCUUGGUGGAUGGGAUUGCUGUGCCAUCUAUGGCUGCAAAUAAUCCGUGCAACUUGUUCCCAUCCAGCACAAUUUCACACUGCACAAGUGAGACGGGGACUAUCGUAUUGUCAAGAACUCUCUGAGCUCUCCCUUCCCUGGGGCUAUUUGGA
Numida meleagris (helmeted guineafowl) is the source of this 596-nucleotide long non-coding RNA. RefSeq lists it as uncharacterized. NCBI's taxonomy places the organism in Eukaryota, Metazoa, Chordata, Aves, Galliformes, Numididae. The record is from RefSeq and is a predicted model, not a curated record. The transcript is spliced from 4 exons.